CCUCAACAUUACAAAGACACAUGAGCCUGUCGUCUGCUAAAAAGCACGAAGAUUCCCACCGAAGGCGGUUAUGCAUCAUGUGGACGCACCUUCAUGAUAGAUCGCUGAACUUGGCCUUGGACGCAACGAUGUAAAAGUAUGUCCACAGAAUGCCUCUUUCCUCGUGAGCAAUUGCAAUUGCACGGGAAUAAUGGGGCAUGCACAAAAAUUUGUGGAAAGAACGCAUUGGCAUUCCCGUGUCCACAUGUUACCUGAUUGCGCAAGCAGUCUGCCAUGGAUCCCACAGUUUGUUUGGGUGCUUGUGCUGCGUUUAUUGUGAUGAAAAGACGACAAGAAGAAAACACACAGGCGACUAUAGAAAUGGUUCAACCUGACUUUCUACAGUGAAUGAUGGUCUCACUGCAACAGCUAUCCAGCACUUAUGAGUUGUUGCUGGAAUGGAUGUCCAAUCUUGAACCACAAAAGGAAACCAUCCAAGAAAACUAAGAUCUUGCCACCAUCAUUUCUACCUUCCAACCAGAAUAGAGAAGCCUCACCAAAUUAUAUUUCCUGACUGAAGAAACUUUCAAUUACGCACUGAUUAUCAGGUGAUGUCACACACAAAGCUAUUCUUACUGCAGAUAUUGGUGUGGAAGUGUUUAAACAAAUUCAAAAGAAAUAGAUCACAUGAUCAUUUCGUAUUCAGAAAUUAAAGUUAGUGUCACAUUUUGGAGCACAAGUGCGAUGAUGCUGUAGCCAGGGAUAAAUUUUUUGGAGGCUUUUAAGGAACCAAAUCAAGGUUAUCAGGUAACAAUGAAUGGAAACUACAAGACUUAACUAGAUAUUGCAAAUUUCUGUGUGAAAGUGACAUGUAACAAGUCUUACACUGCUUCUCUCAUUUGUAAUAUGCUUAUUAUGCACUCGCCUGAUAUUGCCUUUAAUAUGGGCACGUUAACAACCGCUAGUGUAAGCAGGUGCACUUCAAUAUGGAGACAGUUGUGUGCUUACAGUGCAUAAGCAGCCCACAUGGCCAUGCUCUGAAUACUUUUCUUUCGAAACUCACAAUGUUUUUAUGCUAUAAAACAGAUCACAAAUCUGAAUUGGCUUUUGCCUGUUCUCAACUCACAAACAAAAUCAUUCCCAUCUUUUCCAAGGUCUUCCAGUAUCUCUUUUCCCAUUCAUUCUGUAGUUCAGGAUCUUAUGUUCUCAUGGAGUGUUGUCUCUGAUUUUCAUGAUACUGACAAAAGUUUUUCAUAACAAAAUUCAAAUGUUUACAAUGAACACGAGCAAUUUGGUAGAUUUUUGUGGACAAAAAAAUAAAGUGAAUGUUAUCUUUUUCAGUAAAUGACAAGGCUUUACCUGUGACACUGAAGAGUUAAUAAAGUGCCAUUGAAAUUUCAAACUGAUAAAG
Schistocerca piceifrons (Central American locust) is the source of this 1390-nucleotide long non-coding RNA. RefSeq lists it as uncharacterized. The transcript is spliced from 3 exons. The record is from RefSeq and is a predicted model, not a curated record. Lineage: Eukaryota; Metazoa; Arthropoda; Insecta; Orthoptera; Acrididae.